RNAcentral lists this ribosomal RNA (800 nucleotides) under uncultured bacterium. RNAcentral's name for it is "bacterial SSU rRNA". It matches the Rfam family "Bacterial small subunit ribosomal RNA", at positions 8 to 832 of the family's 1533-position model. The record is from RNAcentral.
AGAGUUUGAUCCUGGCUCAGGACGAACGCUGGCGGCGUGCCUAACACAUGCAAGUCGAGCGGGAGACUUCGGUCUCCAGCGGCGGACGGGUGAGUAACACGUGGGUAACCUGCCUUGUAGAGGGGGAUAGCCUUCCGAAAGGAAGAUUAAUACCGCAUAACAUUAUGCUUUUGCAUGAGAGUAUAAUCAAAGGAGCAAUCCGCUACAAGAUGGACCCGCGGCGCAUUAGCUAGUUGGUGAGGUAACGGCUCACCAAGGCGACGAUGCGUAGCCGGCCUGAGAGGGUGAACGGCCACAUUGGAACUGAGACACGGUCCAGACUCCUACGGGAGGCAGCAGUGGGGAAUAUUGCACAAUGGGCGAAAGCCUGAUGCAGCAACGCCGCGUGAGUGAUGAAGGUUUUCGGAUCGUAAACUUCUUUGAUGAGGGACGAAUAAUGACGGUACCUCAAAAACAAGCCACGGCUAACUACGUGCCAGCAGCCGCGGUAAUACGUAGGUGGCGAGCGUUGUCCGGAUUUACUGGGUGUAAAGGGCGUGUAGGCGGGAAUGUAAGUCAGAUGUGAAACUCCGGGGCUCAACUUCGGAACUGCAUCUGAAACUAUGUUUCUUGAGUGCUGGAGAGGAAAGCGGAAUUCCUAGUGUAGCGGUGAAAUGCGUAGAUAUUAGGAGGAACACCAGUGGCGAAGGCGGCUUUCUGGACAGUAACUGACGCUGAGGCGCGAAAGCGUGGGGAGCAAACAGGAUUAGAUACCCUGGUAGUCCACGCUGUAAACGAUGGAUACUAGGUGUGGGAGGUAU